UUUCACUAUUAAAUGUGUCACUAUGCCUUAAUCACUCCAAAGAGAAUAGCAUAUGUGUUUAAUUCAAAUAUUUUUAAUCUGAAGGGUUCUUUGUGGCGAAAGAAGGGUCUUCAGAUUAAAAAAGGUCAAACUGACGGCUCAUGAAUGAUAAGAGCAGUAGGCACGUCAUCGGAGACCUUCUGAUUCCUGUCUAUCACUGGUGUUAGCAACUUGUAUGGGAUAGGACUGUCAUAAUCAAGCAGUAGGCAGCAGGCAAAACAGCCACAGACGUUUUCCAUUCUCAGUCUUGUGCCAGAUGCCUGGUGUACAUCUUGGCAAAGCAUCAACCCUGAAAUGCAUAGACAGAGACAAAACCUCAAUUCAGAAAUUCCUGCUCCGCAUGCACAGACCAUAAAGUUUAGUGAAUCAUUCCAUCUCUGCAGCUUUUUUCUUUGAAUAUGGCUUUACAGUCAUUACAAAUCCAACAAGUACAGUUAUCAAAGCGGGUACAAGCAGGCUUACAGUAAACCAUGAGUCAGUUGGAGAAAUGUGUUUUGAAGAUGAUUCACUUUGUCAUCUUUACAGAGACACAGAAAAACCCACCGGUGUAAUAAAGCAGAUUCUCAGACGUUCAUUCUUUUCAAAACUGCGGAGAAAUGAAAUUGAGAUAUCGGAGACUGUACAUAUUUCCUAGCAUUUACAAAAAAGUGUAACAGUGUAUGGUUAUGUCAUCCUAAUACUAAAUGAAUGUAUGCCUGAACUGUCAAAUUUUGUAUUGAAAUUUUAUGCAGCAUUAAUCAUGAGUUUGUCAUAGUUGUGGUCCAGCGAUGCCAGUACAAAAAUAAAUGAGGUACAUUUUCUCCUGUGCUACUUUACACAAUCACAGGCAUAGUGAGUGAUUAAAAUGUUUACAUCUCUGAUCUAGGUGAUCUGUAUGUGACAAUGACAGCACUGUCACUGCUUGGCAUGAUGUAU
Long non-coding RNA from Carassius auratus (goldfish), 954 nucleotides. RefSeq lists it as uncharacterized. NCBI's taxonomy places the organism in Eukaryota, Metazoa, Chordata, Actinopteri, Cypriniformes, Cyprinidae. The record is from RefSeq and is a predicted model, not a curated record. The transcript has 4 exons.